CUCAAAAGCCUGAAGCAAUGACAAAGGCUGUUCAAAGUGCUGAGGAACCAAGGAAAUGUACAUAUUUGGCUUAAUUCAUAAAACUGUCAUUGAAGGCCAGCUAAGAAGACGAAGAUUUUUGUCCAGGAUCUGCAGCUGUGAGACCACAGAAAGUUUGUUGACUCAUGACCUAGAUGACUGCAAGAGCCUACAAUGAAGUCCCUCUGCAAACAGAAGCAAAAGGCACAGUCUGCUCCUCCUAAAGCAAGUCCACAUCUCUACUCCAGAAAAGAGCAAACUAUUUACAACUAUUUAAAUACAGCCUUUUCAUCUUAAAAAUUACAUUAAGUUUCUGGAAUUCUGAUAUACCCAAUUCCAAGUAAGCAUGCUUUGAGCUGAAUUGAGCCUUUAGGAGUUGGAAUAUUUGGGACCUAGUCCCCAACCAAGUCUUCAGGACUUCUCAAAUAAUUAAUUCAGGCCAUACAAGAGAUUUGGUGAAUGAUACAGAGCAGUAGAAGUCCCAUAAAUGGGGGAAAGAGAAGACAUAGGGGUUACAGGAGAGGAGAGAAGGGUAUUGUUAGGGAAGUACAUGAAGUCAUAAAGUAGCACUUACUGAAGACCUGGGAUUUUCUAAUUAAGCCCAAGCAAUUCUCCUGAAUUCAGUUCAAUUUAUGGGUUCGUAUGCUAAAGAAAAAAAAUAUCAAUUCAUCUUGAUACUAUUUUGAUCAUUAUUUCCACAUUCUGGAGGCUGGCAAGUUCAAGAUCAAGGUGCCAGAAGAUUUGGUGUUUGGAUGGUCAUUUUCUGCUGCUAUGGCCCAGUUUGUGCCUUCAAGGACUGACUGUGUAAAAAAGAGCCCAGAAACUCUUUGAACUGACUUACAGUAGCUUCUUCAGCAGUCAGCUGUAACGAUGGCUGGAGCACCUGGUACCUGAGUGAGGGCCAAGAAUGGGCUCUGCAUGUGCCCUCCCUCAACAAUUGCCCACCACCCAUUCUCACACAAAUGCAGUGGGGGAUGAACCUGUAGGGAUGGGUAAUCAGCCUGAAAGGAACAAUUUUGCAUAUGUGUAAAAUCUGAAAAAAUAAAUUAUUAUUCAUGGGAAACAUGCCACUAAUAUGAUAGAGAAGAAAAAGUUUGAUAUUUGGUGUCUGAACAUUUGGGUGUUUCCAGACCUAUCUCUGCCAUUUACUCUAUGAUUAAGACUUCACGACAUAAGUUUUCUGAGUCUCAUCUUCCCACCUCUUAAAGGUGCCUAAUGACAAUACCUGAAACCACUUUGCCAUAAAACAUUUACUGCAUAUUGUCAAUGCAUACUAGGUAUGAUACUAGGCACCAGCAAUAUAAAAACAAAUGAAAUGUGGCACCUGCUCUCAAGACUUGAAAGAAGCUAUAAUGUAAAGCAUCGAACUACAGGAGAAAAGUGGGAAUCUUUCCUUUUUCACAUCCAUAGUCACUAAGGCCAUUUGUCGACUGAGCAAAUGUAUAGUACAGAAAGCUGUUAGACUAAUAUCUAGUGAUUAAACUGUACUUAAGGGAGAGAAUGGCCUUUAAGUAGCAAAAAUCUCUCAUGGGUUAUUUUGUUAUUUAAAAGUGGCACUGGCGAGGGCUAGGAUAAAACAGUUAAACAGUUUUACCCAGGAAAUAAACCACAAUAUUGGAGAAGGAGGUUUAAAGUACUAGAAAAGAGAGAAGGAGGAAGAGAAAUAGUAAGAAUGCAGGCUGAGCUGAAAUAAUUUCCAUGAUCAGCUGUAAAGUUGCACACUUUUACAUGCAUACUCUGAUGUUGGAUUGUCAGUAAAAGUCUGCUAUCCACAAUUAUUAUCUUUGAGUUUGGGGAAAAUAAAUUAAAAGGAAAUGUUUGCCAAUCAUUGAUGAAUGGCAGUGGGAGAAGUGAAGAGAUGGAGAAUAAGAGAGACCUGAACCAGGGCCGGAAUCCCUGGAGUCCUCAUAGAACAUUAUAGGACAUUGAGAUCCCACCAUCUGUAGAAUAGGGUUUUAAGCCAAUGUAUACCUUAAUUGUGAUAAACAAGGGGAUCCCUGCAAGCUGAAGAUCCAGGGAACAGGUGGAGACAGACACAGAAGAAAUGAGGAAAUUAAUGAAUAAAAAGUCAAGAGCAUGAGAGGAAGGUAGACAUGACUUUGAAGGAAAGUCAGGCAAGAAUGUAUGGUUAUACUCUGUUGUCAGCAGGGAAUUACUUUAUAAAGUAGAAAGAGAAGCCCAAAGAGCAUCUUUUCCCCAGGGUAUAGUCAAGAGAAGAGAAGAGAUGGAAAGCCAUUUGGAAAAAGUGAUGGGGAAUUCAGGCAUCGGGUCAACACCAAGGUAAGUGGGAAGAACUCAGUGGGCCUGGCAUUGCUGGCAUAAAGAGAAGGUCCCUGAGGGCAGAAGGACACCUUCCAGACAGACCUGCUGUUUCUCCAAAGGGGUGCUUGCUUCACAUCCUUAUAUAUUUUUUUCCAGUCUUUACCUGAUGCCUGAGACCUGGCCCUUCUAAUUCUUUACACUGAAAGACCAGAAAAUUUUUUAAAAGAGAAAAAGAAAGAAAGAUAAAGAAAAAAGAAAGAAAGACAAGCAUAGCAUUUAUAGAAACAUGAGAACUUCUGCAGGGGUGCAGACCCAUCUUUGAAAAUGAUUCUUUGGAAGAGGCCUUUAGUGCCAAAUACUUGAGUUGCUGCCAGUCUGUUAUGACUCCUUCUUUAUCAUUUCCCCUCACAUGAGGCAGAUCGAGACAGAUCCACAUUCCUUCCCCUGUGUUUGGGGCCCACUCUCAGUCAUUGUCAGCUGCUGGUUUGCUGAGGUUCUUGGGGUUGAAAAAAUCCACCUGGUGGCUCCAUCUCUGUUUGCUGCAACAUUUAUGUAGAUGGGGUGUCAUCUGGGAGUCAUGGCAGCAGAGACACAACAAACAAAAGCAACCCACUGGCUUCCAGGGUGAACAGCAAAUUCCUCUUUAGCUCCCUAGAAUGUUUAUGGAGUAGCUGAGUAGCCACACAUCCUUGAUCCUCCAAAGCCAGAUAGUGGGCAGCUGUUGCAAAUUCUUUCUGAAGAGCUUAUACAUAAAAUAAUUCUUGCUGAACUUAACCAUAUCACCAUGAAAAAGGACAUUAAUCUCAUUUAUGAGGGCUCCACCUUAAUGAUCUAAUCGCCUCCCAGAAGCCCCACUUCCAAAUACCAUCACACUGGGGAUUAGCUUUCAACAUAUCAACUUUAGGGGGACACAAACAUUCAGAGUGUAGCAAUCCCUGUGCCCACUUUUUUUCCUCUAGGAUGGUCAUAUCACCAAAUGGUCUUCUGCUGCCAUUUGGUGAUAACUGUCCCUCUAUGUUCUCUCUUCCUUCCUUUCCUCCUUUCUCCUUUCUUCUUUCCUUCCUUCCUUCUUCCUUUCUCCUUUCUUCUUUCCUUCCUUCCUUCUUCCUUCCUUCCUAUGAAUUGAGCAACUAGUAGAUGCUAGGUCCUAUGAUUAGAAAUGAGAAUGUUACCAAGAACAAGGACAUUAUCUUUAUCCUCAUGGAACUCAGAGUUGAAUUGAAGAAAACAGCACACACAUGACCAAUAGAGAAAACACAGGCUAUGAAAAAAGGAAGAGUGAUUCCCUAAUCAAGCCAUGGGCUUUCAGGGAAAGCCUCCAUGAGGUAGUCAGGUCUGAGAUGGGCUUUAAAAAAAAAAAAGUCAAACAAAUGGAGAAAUGGUGAACAGGUAUCUUCCUGGAACACGGUACAUGUGCAGCCAUGAAGGAUCGAGAAAACCCAAGGCAUAUUUGAGGGCUGCCCAGCCAUGCAGGUGUAGAGUAUGCUUAUGUCUGAGGGGUGGGGCUUAGGCCCAGGCAGAAGUGAGACCAUAAAAUCAACUAAACAUGCAUUAAAGAUUGAAACCUAAGACCUGGAGCCAUAAAAUGCCUAAAAGAAAACAUGAAGGGGAAAAGCUUCAUGACCUUGGACUUGGCAAUAAUUUUUUGGACGUGACAUCAAAAGCGCAAGCAACAAAAGCAAAAUCAAACAAGUGAGACUGAACUAAAAUCUUCUGCACAGCGAAAGAAACAAUCAACAGAGUAAAAAGGCAACAUACAGAAUGGGAGAAAAUAUUUGCAAACCAAAGAUCUGACAAGGUAUUUAUAUCUAAGAUAUGUAAGAAACUCAAACAACUCAAUAGCAAAAUAAAUAAAUAAAUAACGAUUUAAAAAUGGGCAAAGGACUUGAGUAGACAUUUCUCCAAAGAUGACAUACAAAUGGCCAAUAGGUAUAUGAAAACAUGCUCACUAUCAUUAAUCAUCAGAGAAUGCAAUCAAAAGUACAAUAAAAUAUCAACUAUUAGAAUGUCUAUUAUCAGAAAAAAGAUAAAUGUUGGCAAGAAUAUAGAGAAAUUGGAACCCUUGUACACUGUUGGGAAUGUAAAAAUGGUGCAGUUGCUGUGGAAAAUAGUGUGAAGUUCCCUCAAAAAAUUAAACAUGGAAUUACUAUGUGGCCUAGCCCUCUCACUUCUAGGUAUAUAUCCAAAAGAAUUAAAAUUAAG
This 4482-nucleotide long non-coding RNA is filed under the name Homo sapiens (human). RNAcentral's name for it is "non-protein coding lnc-TNC-2:5". Lineage: Eukaryota; Metazoa; Chordata; Mammalia; Primates; Hominidae. The record is from RNAcentral.